This 251-nucleotide ribosomal RNA is filed under the name uncultured bacterium. RNAcentral's name for it is "partial 16S ribosomal RNA". It matches the Rfam family "Eukaryotic small subunit ribosomal RNA", at positions 1561 to 1804 of the family's 1831-position model. The record is from RNAcentral.
CCAUUCGUGACGGGGAUCGGGGAUUGCAAUUAUUCCCCAUGAACGAGGAAUUCCCAGUAAGUGCGGGUCAUAAGCUUGCGUUGAUUAAGUCCCUGCCCUUUGUACACACCGCCCGUCGCUACUACCGAUUGGAUGGUUUAGUGAGGCCCUCGGAUCGGCCCCGCCGGGGUCGGCCCACGGCCCUGGCGGAGCGCUGAGAAGACGGUCGAACUUGACUAUCUAGAGGAAGUAAAAGUCGUAACAAGGUAACC